AUGACCUUACUUGAACAGGAUGUGUUCUAUAGGAUCGUACCGCUGCAUCCUUGACUAAUAUAAGGAGGCAAGCACAUCUGACCUGUGGGCCAGAGCGUGAUUAACGGCUCAGAUCAGUCUGACUGAUCCCAUGCCUGCAGAGGAUCGUUCUUGUUCAGCUCUAGGUGGCUCUCUCUCCUUUUGCC
Molecule: small nucleolar RNA, 185 nt
Filed under: Triticum aestivum (bread wheat)
Lineage: Eukaryota; Viridiplantae; Streptophyta; Magnoliopsida; Poales; Poaceae
Description: Plant small nucleolar RNA U3
Rfam family: Plant small nucleolar RNA U3
About the family: Small nucleolar RNAs (snoRNAs) are involved in the processing and modification of rRNA in the nucleolus. There are two main classes of snoRNAs: the box C/D class, and the box H/ACA class. U3 snoRNA is a member of the box C/D class.
Source: Rfam by way of RNAcentral